RNAcentral lists this ribosomal RNA (460 nucleotides) under uncultured bacterium. RNAcentral describes it as "partial 16S ribosomal RNA". It matches the Rfam family "Bacterial small subunit ribosomal RNA", at positions 338 to 795 of the family's 1533-position model. The record is from RNAcentral.
CCUACGGGUGGCAGCAGUGAGGAAUAUUGGUCAAUGGACGAGAGUCUGAACCAGCCAAGUAGCGUGAAGGAUGACUGUCCUAUGGGUUGUAAACUUCUUUUAUAAAGGAAUAAAACGAGGCACGUGUGCCUUUUUGCAUGUACUUUAUGAAUAAGGAUCGGCUAACUCCGUGCCAGCAGCCGCGGUAAUACAGAGGAUCCGAGCGUUAUCCGGAUUUAUUGGGUUUAAAGGGAGCGUAGAUGGGUUGUUAAGUCAGGUGUGAAAGUUUGCGGCUCAACCGUAAAAUUGCAUUUGAUACUGGCAGGCUGGAGUACAGGUGAGGUAGGCGGAAUUCGUGGUGUAGCGGUGAAAUGCUUAGAUAUCACGAAGAACUCCGAUUGCGAAGGCAGCUUACUAGACUGCAACUGACGCUGAUGCGCGAAAGCGUGGGUAUCAAACAGGAUUAGAUACCCCGGUAGUC